GGAAAGGAAGGAGGGGGACCUCAUGCGGCAGCGUGCUGUGAGUGCUGUGAAUGAUACUGCAUCCUUCAUUCCUAACAAGUAGUACUUGAAGUGAGGAGUGCCAUGGAAGGUCUGAAACAGACCACAGAUCAGCCCAUAAAACCUGCAGAUCCUGUGGAGCAGCAGGAGACAGCACCAUCUCUUUACCCCUACCCGCAUGAGUCCUGGCCAUCCAGUGGACCCAUCUGAUCUCCACCAUGUCAGAAGAAGCAGAGGAAAAUGAAUAUAGGGUGAAGCUGUAUUAAUUUUCCAUGGGGAAAUCUGCUGGACAUUGGGAAGGAAAAAAUAUGCAUCCUCUUGGCCCUACUUGCAGAUCCAUUUCCACAGAAAUCCCUUGGUAGGGAAAGGGCAGAGGUGGGGGAAGAUAUGCUGCCACAUUAGCUUUGUGUUCCACCCAUCUCUUUCUACAUAGGAAGGAUAUGAACUGUCUAGAGAUCAGAGACAUGAUCAGGAGCUUAAUUUUCAAAUGUACAGAUAGCAUGCGGGGAGGAAAAAUCUACCCAAUGUCAUAUAGAUCUCAAUAUAUAGCCAAAUCCUCAGCUACUGUGAAUGGGCAUAUCUUCACUUAAAUCAACAGAGCCAUGAUCAUUUACAACAGCUGAGGAUGUGGCUCAAUAUUUUCUAGUUGUUAGAAUUAAAUAUUUGUGUUUGAGUAGACUGCAAAGUAGAUUAUGCUGAAGGUUUACUGUCAAUAGUACAGUAUAUUCUUUUUGUCCAGUGAGAAGAGGUUCAGUUUUAUACUCAAGGUUAUCAACUAGGUGAUCUAUAAUAAUAUUUUCUUGUUUAACUUAGAGGCUCAGAAACAGUAAACAGGUGGAAUGUGUACAAGCAAUAUAGUGGCUGGGGAGAACAGCAGCAACCUGACUGAGAAAUAUUGUUUACAGACUUGAUUAUUUAAUGUGACUUGAGAAUCAUUUUAAGACCAUCAACAGUUUGUUCCUAUUGCAGAUAAAUCCCCAUGAAUGCACUAGCAUUUUAUGCAGAAAUAUAUAUAGAGAAUUUUGGUAUCUUGCUGAUCCCUUAUCCAAUUCAACCAUUUGCUUCAUUAUCAUUACUUCAAUUAACUUAGUGCUCAGAGAAAACUGAAGAACUGAAUUAUCAGGAAGCUGUUAAGAUUAAUUUUCAGGCAAAUGAGGUACUAAAUGGGGUUCUUAAGUGAGUAAAAGUGAGUAAAAAUACACUCUGUCUCCAGCAGUAAAACAACAUUCACAGAAAAGGAGGUAUUUUGAUCAUUUCAGCCAUAACUGCCUCUUUAUUCACAUUA
This is a long non-coding RNA of Mauremys mutica (yellowpond turtle), 1303 nucleotides long. RefSeq lists it as uncharacterized. The transcript is spliced from 3 exons. The record is from RefSeq and is a predicted model, not a curated record. Lineage: Eukaryota; Metazoa; Chordata; Testudines; Geoemydidae.